This is an RNA transcript of Mytilus californianus (California mussel), 2591 nucleotides long. It is a transcript of the gene named phospholipid scramblase 1-like, with no coding region annotated. The record is from RefSeq and is a predicted model, not a curated record. Lineage: Eukaryota; Metazoa; Mollusca; Bivalvia; Mytilida; Mytilidae. The transcript has 13 exons.
UGAAAAUACAAAUAACAGUCUAUUUACUGACCUAUUUGUAGAACAACUGUAAAACGUUGAGCGGUAUCUUCCAUAAACAUUUCAGUAUCAAAUUAAAGUAUGUCGAAUCAACUAAAAUAUAUGCAUAACAAAAGGAAAUAACCAUUCGUACAUUGCCGUCAACGAUCGACUCAUUCUGAAUUUUGUCACAACAACGUGAAUUACUGAACACUAAUGGAAGAAGGUAUUCAAGAAAGACAAAAUUUUUCUUACGCAGUAAUAAGACCUUCAAAUCAACAGAAUUCCUCAUAUGUUCCUGCCAAACCUACAAAUAAAACAGACCCUUCUUGCAGUACUGUUACUAAGCAACCAGUGAUUACCACUAGAAGACCCCCAGCUUUUGGGCAGAUUGUGAAGAAACAAGUAUGGGUAGAAGAAAAGUCGAACAUUCCUGGUGUAGUUCCAGGACUGCAGUAUCUUACAUCUCUUGAUCAAGUAUUCGUCAAACAACAUAUUGACAUGAUGGAAGCAAUGUGGGAAAAAGCAAACAAGUACAAAAUACUAAACAACCAAAGCGAACAAGUUUACUUUGUGUCUGAAGAGUCCGAUAAAUGGAACAGACAAUUUCAAGGACCAGACCGAGGAUUCAAUCUUCGUGUAUUUGACAAUACAUCUCAGGAGGUUAUGCGUUUCUCUAGAGAACACAUAUGUUGCGCUGGAUGUUGUUGUGGUUAUUGUGUAAGUCUUCGUCAAGUUCUGACCGUAGAGGCACCAGUCGGGGAAGUAAUUGGAUACGUUCGACAGGAGUUUAAAAAAUCUGGACCUUGCUAUUCAGUAAGAGAUGCAGAAGAUACCAUCGUUUAUAAGAUUACUGGACCUUGCUGUGUAUGCGACUGUCCCUGCAAUAGAGUUAGAUUUCCGAUAGUGUCAGCAGACGACACAGAGGAAGUUGGUGUAAUCAGCAAAAAUCUUGGUAUAGAAAAUUAUUUCGGAGAUGCUGAUACGUUUGGUGCAAAGUUUCCACAAGAUCUUGAUGAAAAAAUCAAAGCAGUCCUGCUUGGGGCAAUCAUGUUAAUCGACUUCAGCCAUUUUGAACAAGGACAACAACACUAUUAAAGAGCAAGACUUCAGCCAUUUUGAACAAGGACAACAACACUAUUAAAGAGCAAGGCUGUACUAAUCUCCUUUUGGAAGACCGACCAAUAGAGAAAGAUUGAAUAGUAACCCUAUAAAUAAGUUGUCAUUUUACUUGGAACAUUGUUUUGUAUGUUGUAAUGUGUUACUUUCACCUUAUAUUGACGAAAAAAAACAGUGUGCUUGCCUUGAAUGUUGUGUACAAAGUCAGGAAUAUGACAAUCAUUUUCACAGUUAUUCCUUUGGUUUAUAUAAUCGAACGUUUUGAUUUGUCAGAAUUUAUCUUGUAGUUCGUUAUUUUUAUUAUUGCGUCUUUUGCAUUAGUUUUUUUAAGGAAUGACUGUAAUAUUUUUUUCUGUCUAAAUAUUACAGUCAUUUCUUAUAAUUUAAUUCUAAAUUUCAUUUUAAACCGGAGUAAACCAUGAAAAAACGUUGAUGACGUCACGGUCACAUGACAAAAUAGUUUAUGAGCUGAUAAACAAAACAACGUCAGCCAAUCAGAAGACGCGUUACAUCCAAAAUUAAAUUAUUGAUUUAUAGAGUAACAGUCUUUAUAAAGAAGAUCGAUUCAGUCGUUGGUUGCCUUUGAUUGUAUUUAUUUUUCGUUUAAUGUUUUGCACAACAAUCAGAUUCACGCAUUCAAAAAUGAUAAAGGACACAGGUGUGUUUCAACAAAGAAAUUUAUUUAUAAUAUAACAUUUUUCAAUGAAAACCAACAGCGUGAUUGUUGUACAAAACAUUAAACGAAAAAUAAAUACAAUCAAAUGCAACCAACGACAACCACUGAAUUACACGCUAUUGACUUGGGACAGGAACCUACAAAAUAUGGCAGGGUUAAAUUUUUUGCAAGCGCUCAGUCCUCCCACUAACCUGGAACAGUGUUAUAACAGCACAAGAUUGUUGAAUUUCUAUUAAUAUGUUUUUAAAAUGUCGCAAGGUGGCUGGAGUAUUAUUUUUGACUUUUGUCAGAUUGUCUGAAAUUUUGGCAAAUACAUCAGCUAACUAUACAACCAGGUUUAAUCUACCAUUUUCGUCAUAAGGAAAUGCCUGUACCAAGUCAGGAAUAUGGCAGUUGUUUUUUCGUUCGUUUGAUUUUGCCAUUUUAUAAGGGACGUUCCGUUUUGAAUUGAAUGUUGUGUACCAAGUCAGGAAUAUGACAAUCAUUUUUCACAGUCAUUCGGCAUUUUUGUUAUUUUACUUUUUGCGAUAAAGUAUAUCAUUCAUAUAUGUAGGUAAUCAAACAAUCUGUACGUAUUUAUGUAUAAUACCGCUAUCAUUAUCAAGGUCUUUCUCGUGCCAUAGUUAACAUGUUAAAUACUCGUAUCGACCUUAUUGUCCUGAAGUUGUUUGGUUUAUAAGACUUGUGCUAUAUUUUAUUUGUUUGCCAAUUAAGUUUGAUACUUAUGUGUUUUUGUCAACAAUAUUGUGUAUUGUAUAUGGUUGAAAAAUAUAUUAAAUAGACAAUCUUCAUUUUUUUA